This 253-nucleotide ribosomal RNA is filed under the name uncultured bacterium. RNAcentral's name for it is "partial 16S ribosomal RNA". It matches the Rfam family "Bacterial small subunit ribosomal RNA", at positions 524 to 776 of the family's 1533-position model. The record is from RNAcentral.
UACAGAGGGCUCAAGCGUUGUUCGGAUUCAUUGGGCGUAAAGGGUGUGUAGGUGGCGCCGUAAGUCGGGGGGGAAAUUUCGGAGCUUAACUCCGAAACUGCAUUCGAUACUGCGGUGCUUGAGGACUGGAGAGGAGACUGGAAUUCAUGGUGUAGCAGUGAAAUGCGUAGAGAUCAUGAGGAAGACCAGUGGCGAAGGCGGGUCUCUGGACAGUUCCUGACACUGAGACACGAAGGCCAGGGGAGCAAACGGG